AGAAAAUGGAGAUUUUGAGAACGUAACGCUACGUGGUUUGUGUUAACAGCUUGUUAUUGGGAAGACUAUAAAGAACGACUCUCGACAUUAAUAGAGUAAACAGACGAUGUUAUACUUAGGCUAGAUAUUUUGGACACACUGAGCGCAGUGAUAAACCUGAGUACUCCCACAAUUACCAUCAACAAUAAAGUGAUAAAUGCGGC
This 203-nucleotide long non-coding RNA is filed under the name Mytilus galloprovincialis (Mediterranean mussel). Lineage: Eukaryota; Metazoa; Mollusca; Bivalvia; Mytilida; Mytilidae. The record is from RNAcentral.